Non-coding RNA from Pelobates cultripes (western spadefoot toad), 111 nucleotides. NCBI's taxonomy places the organism in Eukaryota, Metazoa, Chordata, Amphibia, Anura, Pelobatidae. The record is from the annotation of a GenBank genome assembly.
UACAAAAUACAGAAUCCAGCGCACUCGCUUAUUCACUAAACAAUGAUUUUUUGUUUGAUUUGAAAUCAUUGUUUAGUGAAUAAGUGAGUGCGCUGGAUUCUGUAUUUUGUA